RNAcentral lists this ribosomal RNA (523 nucleotides) under uncultured microorganism. RNAcentral describes it as "bacterial SSU rRNA". It matches the Rfam family "Bacterial small subunit ribosomal RNA", at positions 9 to 514 of the family's 1533-position model. The record is from RNAcentral.
GAGUUUGAUCGUGGCUCAGGAUGAACGCUGGCGGCGUGCCUAAUACAUGCAAGUCGAACGAACAGAUAAGGAGCUUGCUCCUUUGACGUUAGCGGCGGACGGGUGAGUAACACGUGGGUAACCUACCUAUAAGACUGGAAUAACUCCGGGAAACCGGGGCUAAUGCCGGAUAACAUGUUGAACCGCAUGGUUCUACAGUGAAAGACGGUCUUGCUGUCACUUAUAGAUGGACCCGCGCCGUAUUAGCUAGUUGGUGGGGUAACGGCCUACCAAGGCGACGAUACGUAGCCGACCUGAGAGGGUGAUCGGCCACACUGGAACUGAGACACGGUCCAGACUCCUACGGGAGGCAGCAGUAGGGAAUCUUCCGCAAUGGGCGAAAGCCUGACGGAGCAACGCCGCGUGAGUGAUGAAGGUCUUCGGAUCGUAAAGCUCUGUUGUUAGGGAGGAACAAAUGUGUAAGUAACUGUGCAUAUCUUGACGGUACCUAACCAGAAAGCCACGGCUAACUACGUGCCAGCCG